Molecule: ribosomal RNA, 729 nt
Filed under: Salmonella enterica subsp. enterica serovar Kentucky
Lineage: Bacteria; Pseudomonadati; Pseudomonadota; Gammaproteobacteria; Enterobacterales; Enterobacteriaceae
Description: partial 23S ribosomal RNA
Rfam family: Bacterial large subunit ribosomal RNA
Source: RNAcentral
CUUAUAUUCUGUAGCAAGGUUAACCGUAUAGGGGAGCCGAAGGGAAACCGAGUCUUAACUGGGCGUUAAGUUGCAGGGUAUAGACCCGAAACCCGGUGAUCUAGCCAUGGGCAGGUUGAAGGUUGGGUAACACUAACUGGAGGACCGAACCGACUAAUGUUGAAAAAUUAGCGGAUGACUUGUGGCUGGGGGUGAAAGGCCAAUCAAACCGGGAGAUAGCUGGUUCUCCCCGAAAGCUAUUUAGGUAGCGCCUCGUGAACUCAUCUUCGGGGGUAGAGCACUGUUUCGGCUAGGGGGUCAUCCCGACUUACCAACCCGAUGCAAACUGCGAAUACCGAAGAAUGUUAUCACGGGAGACACACGGCGGGUGCUAACGUCCGUCGUGAAGAGGGAAACAACCCAGACCGCCAGCUAAGGUCCCAAAGUCACAGUUAAGUGGGAAACGAUGUGGGAAGGCUCAGACAGCCAGGAUGUUGGCUUAGAAGCAGCCAUCAUUUAAAGAAAGCGUAAUAGCUCACUGGUCGAGUCGGCCUGCGCGGAAGAUGUAACGGGGCUAAACUGUGCACCGAAGCUGCGGCAGCGACGCUUAUGCGUUGUUGGGUAGGGGAGCGUUCUGUAAGCCUGCGAAGGUGUCCUGUGAGGGAUGCUGGAGGUAUCAGAAGUGCGAAUGCUGACAUAAGUAACGAUAAUGCGGGUGAAAAGCCCGCUCGCCGGAAGACCAAGGGUUCC